This 372-nucleotide ribosomal RNA is filed under the name uncultured organism. RNAcentral's name for it is "partial 16S ribosomal RNA". It matches the Rfam family "Bacterial small subunit ribosomal RNA", at positions 527 to 896 of the family's 1533-position model. The record is from RNAcentral.
GUAGGUGGCAAGCGUUGUCCGGAAUUAUUGGGCGUAAAGCGCGCGCAGGGCGGUCCUUUAAGUCUGAUGUGAAAGCCCACGGCUCAACCGUGGAGGGUCAUUGGAAACUGGGGGACUUGAGUACAGAAGAGGAAAGCGGAAUUCCAAGUGUAGCGGUGAAGUGCGUAGAGAUUUGGAGGAACACCAGUGGCGAAGGCGGCUUUCUGGUCUGUAACUGACGCUGAGGCGCGAAAGCGUGGGGAGCAAACAGGAUUAGAUACCCUGGUAGUCCACGCCGUAAACGAUGAGUGCUAAGUGUUAGGGGGUUUCCGCCCCUUAGUGCUGCAGCUAACGCAUUAAGCACUCCGCCUGGGGAGUACGGCCGCAAGGCUG